GUCCUGUUGGUGUGUGGCACACGACUGCUUCUCAUUACCAAUGCAACUUCAAUAACUACGGUAGGAGAACCCCGUUCGAGCCGGGGACGGGACA
This is a non-coding RNA of Mycena crocata, 94 nucleotides long. NCBI's taxonomy places the organism in Eukaryota, Fungi, Basidiomycota, Agaricomycetes, Agaricales, Mycenaceae. The record is from the annotation of a GenBank genome assembly.